UGACUGAGCCUCCCAGGCACCCCUCAAACACUGCCUUAAGCCAGAUUUCACCCACCCAAAAAUCAUUAGCUGUGUGUCUUAUCCUUGUAGAUUCUCUUUUUUUUUUUUUAAUUUUCAUUUAUUUAUAUUAGUCACAGAGAGAGAGAGAGAGGCAGAGACACAGGCAGAGGGAGAAGCAGGCUCCAUGCACCGGGAGCCUGAUGUGGGAUUCGAUCCCGGGGCCUCCAGGAUCACGCCCUGGGCCAAAGGCAGGCGCCAAACCGCUGCGCCACCCAGGGAUCCCUCCUUGUAGAUUCUCAAGAAAGGAGGUUAUUCAACCUUUCUCUGUAGUCAAGGAUUUUGUUCUCCAUGUAACCUGAACUCUUCUACAGCUUGAAACCGGUCUUCCUCCAUCCACAGAAGAGGUGGGAAACAUCUGGCAAAGCCUUCCACAGCCUGCUCUGGGAUCUGCCACUGAGGCGCAGCCAACCACAUUUUUGGUGUAUGCCUAGAAGAUGCUGGAGGGGAACUGAAAGGCUGGAGGAAGAAGAAGGACAUGCUCCUUCCCUGACCACUUCCGGCUCCUUUAACAACUUUGCACUAGGUUAUCAAUCAAGUUCUCUCUGUUCAAAUAUCUUCUCACUGGACCCUGACUGACACACACCUGGAGUUCGCCCUGUGCUUGUAUUCAUUCAACAAGCAGGCGACACCCACACUGAUCCAGAUCCAUUGUGUUUUUGCUCCUGAUCCAGAGGGUGCCUCUUCUAUUUCUGUUUCUGAUUACCUUAUUCAACGAAAUAGUAUAUAACUCAACAAAAUGAAGACACUCUGGCAAACAGUUCCCCAGGGUAACCUCAAAUGAAUGAAAAAUAGCUUCUUACGUAAGUCUGGGCACAUCUCUCUUCUAUAAGGUAGAAAGAAACAAAAUAAUUCAGCACAACCCCACGUUUUAUGGAAGAGGAAAGCAACUCCACGUAUUUAAAUGACUUGCCAACGUCACCAAGUAUUUAGAUGAUAAAAUAGGACUAGAACUCAUCUGGUGCUCUUUCCAAUGCGAUAUGCAUACAUAAAUUUGAUUCUUACAGGACUGGCCAAAAACAAACUAGAAAGAAUGUAGAGACUUUUCUCCUCAUGUUCUUUACUUAAUGUUGAUAUAGCUGAAGUCCCUGGAAAAAUUCACCUUUUGAGAACAACAGCCUUGAAGUCAGAAUCAGUGGCUGUGACAGAUAAACUCUGUCAACCUUCAUGUCCAAGCAGCGAUCCCCAGGGGGUCAUCUGGAACCUGCUCCACUUAAAAGGAAUUUUCCAUUUUAGAAUCAAGUGCACAGAUGACCCUCCCGGUCAUAUUAUUUCUGAAUCUUUGUACUCAAUAGUCCCUCUACUUGAAAUUCUUUCUACCUAUUAAACAUUUUCCAAGACAUGGAUAGAUGUGAAAAUUUUAAAAUGUUGACUAAAUAAGAAAGUUGCAGAAGGAGGAGUAUAGUAUAUAACAUCACUCAUGUAACUUCUCUACUUUUUAGUUACAUACAAUAAAAUGUACUUUUCCUGCUAUACAGUUCUAUGAGUUUUGACAAAUUCAGAGUUACGUUGCUUUUGCCACAAUCAAGAUACAGCACAGUUUCAUCACACACAUCCCUAAAUUUGCCUCUGCUACCUCUUAGUCAAACCUCACCCUACUCCCCCAAAUCCCCCCAUGCUCUUACAACCACUGAUCUCUAAGUUGUCAUUACAGCCUUCUUCUCCAGAACAUUCUGUCAAUGGAACCAUAGUGUAACCUUUUGAGAUUGGCUUUCUUCACUCAACAUAAUGCCCUUGAUAUGCUCCAAGUUGUUGCUUAUAUCAAGUUAUUUUAUUCAUUAUUAGGUACUAUCCCACCUCAUAGAUGACCUGUUUUAUUUACCCAUUCCUAAGUUGAGAGACAUUUAGGUUUCCUGUCAGCCUUUGACGCUUAUCAGUAAAGCUGCUGUUAAACACUCACACACAAGUUUUUGUGUGAACAUAGAUUUUCAUUUCACUUAGCAACAACACAGAAAUAGGAUUGCUGGGCAGUUGAGUAAGUACAUAUUUAACUUUAUAAGAAACUGCCAAGCAGUUUUUCUGAAUGGGAGUUCCAGUUUUGCCACAUCCUUUCCAGCACAUGGCAUUGCCAGGCUUUUUAGUUUUUAGUCAUUUUAAUAGCUAUAGGUAUAUAUUUCAUUGUGGCUUAAUUCGAUUUUUUUCUAAUUACUAUCAAUUUGAACAUUCUGAAAGUGAUUGUCAUUAGUAUAUCUAUCUAGCAUAGAAGUAUUUGCUCAAAUGUUUUGCUCAUUAAAAAAAAAAAAAACAACAACCAACUGGGAGUGCG
Long non-coding RNA from Canis lupus familiaris (dog), 2323 nucleotides. RefSeq lists it as uncharacterized. The record is from RefSeq and is a predicted model, not a curated record. The transcript has 6 exons. NCBI's taxonomy places the organism in Eukaryota, Metazoa, Chordata, Mammalia, Carnivora, Canidae.